UCACAUCACCAGGCGGAGGGUCCACCA
This 27-nucleotide small RNA is filed under the name Bombyx mori (domestic silkworm). RNAcentral describes it as "ovarian small RNA-25056". Lineage: Eukaryota; Metazoa; Arthropoda; Insecta; Lepidoptera; Bombycidae. The record is from RNAcentral.